This 18031-nucleotide long non-coding RNA is filed under the name Coffea arabica (coffee). Its description in RNAcentral is "long non-coding RNA (CARA_LNC007487)". The record is from RNAcentral. Lineage: Eukaryota; Viridiplantae; Streptophyta; Magnoliopsida; Gentianales; Rubiaceae.
GAUUAAGAUAAUUCUUGAACCAUUUUGAAACUAAAAGAUAAAUCUACAUUUGGUAUGAAGACAUCAAAGUUCGAUUCAGCCGUAGUCCUAGUCAAAAAGUCGAAAUGUAGAAGUCAAAGUCUGUUGUUGAAAGCUGACAAUAGAGCUCUGACCAGUCAGUGAUAUUUUGAUUGUACCUUGGUUCUUAAAGCUCCAAAUUGGAUGAUUCUUGAUGCUUUGGAAAACUAAGUCAAAUAUCUACAACUUUUGUAUUUUAUAGAAGAGCUAUGUCGGCUUCCAACAUCGAGAAAAUAGCAAUUAAAAUGUAUCUGAUAGCUGCAAAUUACUGACCAACGUGCCUUGUUUUCACACAAUCUUUUCAAAUCAAUUCUAGCCAUCAAUUUGGGUUGUAUUUGACCAAAAAUAAGUUGGAAAGAUAAUUCAAGAGAGUUUCAAGAGUCAAUUUUGCCAACUAGAAACAACUCUUGAAUUCUACUUAAAAAACCCCACAUGCGAUUUACAUUUAUAAUUCCUAAAUAUCCCACACGCGAUUUAUCGCAAGUAUACGAAUCGUGAGCGACUAUAGGGUAUCAAGGGUCGAUCCCACAGAGAAGAUUGCAAUUACCGGUGUUUUUCGAAUUCAUUUAUUAUAUAGACUACCAUAACUGUAAAAAUAAUGAAAAUAACACUAGAAAACUCUCCUACAGAUAUGGAAUUCCUUACUACUCUUGCAAAUGAGAUUAUCAGUUAAGUGAAUGUUAUUGUCUUGGCUAAUUAUGGCGCAAUUUCCUCAUGUAUGUGAAACCUACUCUUGUAGUGAAUUAACUAUAUUUGUGACUAAAUCAUAACUACUCUCAUGGUUAUGAAUUAAUUACAAGUUUAUUUCUUCUAUGAAAUUACAUGAAAUUACAAGUUUAUUUCUUCUAUAAAAAACCCCACAUGCGAUUUACAUUUAUAAUUCCUAAAUAUCCCACACGCGAUUUAUCGCAAGUAUACGAAUCGUGAGCGACUAUAGGGUAUCAAGGGUCGAUCCCACAGAGAAGAUUGCAAUUACCGGUGUUUUUCGAAUUCAUUUAUUAUAUAGACUACCAUAACUGUAAAAAUAAUGAAAAUAACACUAGAAAACUCUCCUACAGAUAUGGAAUUCCUUACUACUCUUGCAAAUGAGAUUAUCAGUUAAGUGAAUGUUAUUGUCUUGGCUAAUUAUGGCGCAAUUUCCUCAUGUAUGUGAAACCUACUCUUGUAGUGAAUCAACUAUAUUUGUGACUAAAUCAUAACUACUCUCAUGGUUAUGAAUUAAUUACAAGUUUAUUUCUUCUAUGAAAUUACAUGAAACAAGUCAUAUAGAUGCACUUCUACUCUCAUGAUUAUACUCCCUAGAUUUAUCACUUACUUAAACUAGUGUUAAAUUUCAAUUUUCAUUGCAAACUUAACACCUUAAGAUUAUUAUAAUUAAUGGCCAGUUAAUCAUGAUUAGAUAAGCAAAAGUGAUAAAUAAUUUGUUCAAAAUAAUACCGCCAAGUAGCCAUCACAAACAAGAUAUAACAAGUUCAACCAUAACUCUAGGUAUAAACUUUAACUAAACAUGAAGAAAAUAAAAGAAAGAUUCGUACUUGUAUUAGAAUUAAACAUAAGAUACAAUACAAGAAAUAAAGUGAUAGGAGAAAUGUCACCCAUAUCACUUGAACUUCAUGCUCUCCAUCUUCAUCCUCAACUCCAUCUAAAUUUAGUUACAAAUACAAGAAGGAAACACUACUCUAACUUAUGAACUAAGAAAAAUUAGUGAAAACUAUAUUUCUUGUGAGUUUCUCUAGCCUUCCAAAUUUAUGAAAAUGGUCUCCACAGACUGCCAUUUAUAGAGAAUUCAAGAGGAGUUGUUUUUAGUUGGCAAAAUUGAUUCUUGAAACUCUCUUGAAUUGUCUUUCCAACUUGUUUUUGGUUAGAUACGACUGAAAUUGAUGGCUGGAAUUGAGUUGGAAAGGUUGUGUGAAAACAAGGCACGUUGGUCAGCAAUUUGCAGCUAUCAGAUACAUUUUUAACUGCUAUUUUCUCGAUGUUGGAGGCCGACAUAGCUCUUUUAUAAAUACAAAAGUCGUAAAUAUUUGACUUAGCUUUCCAAAACAUCAAGAAUCAUCUAAUUUGGAGCUCUGAAGACCAAGAUAUGAUCAAAAUACCACUGACUGGUCAGAGCUCUAUUGUCAGCUUUCGAUAGCAGACUUUGACUUCUGUAUUUCGAUUUUUUUACUAGGACUACGGCUGAACCGGACUUUGAUGUCUUCAUACCAAAUGUAGAUCUAUCUCUUAGCUUCAAAAUGGUUCAAAAAUCAUCUUAAUCCAAUAUGUGUAGUCCAAGAUAUAGCCGAAAUACCACAGGUUACCAAAGCUGACUUUUCUUGCAUUAUUUUGUUCUUAAUUGUAUUUCCUAUUUUGUACUUCAUAUUCUAUUUUUUAUCACUUUAAAUCAUCAUCAAUCAUCCAAAUAUCUUCUCAAAUCACUCCAUUUGAUGAUUGAAUCAUUAAACCUACAAAAACAUGAAGUUUUUACCAUAUAAAUGCAAUUUUUCACACUUAAACCAUCAAAUGCAUAUUUUCACUAGAAACCUAGUUUAUUAGCUAUAAACAUGACUAAAACACACCAAAACUAAUUAAUAAAAUAUACUUAAAAUAUCUACUUAUCAUGCGCCUUAAGUAUUGUUAGGGCUUAAGAGAACUUAGUAGCUAAGAAAUUAAAAGCUAAUUCAUGGGGAACUCAAGUUAGAUCUGACUACCUUUUGAAUAUGAAUGGAACAUGUAAAAGUUCAAAUCCAACAAACACCCUAGAUCUGAUAUUACCCUUGACAACAUUAAAUGGCUUCAUGUGCCUGCAAAUCUAAUCUCUUUUACCAUCUGUUGGAAUUACAAAAUAAUUCUAAGCUCAACUAGACACACUAAGCUACCUACCAUAGACAAUUUCCUUUGGCCCAAAUGCUUCUCUUCAAUGAUAUAAUCUAAGUACUUGGUUUACAAAGGGGUUGCUCCUUUACUGGUCAUAUGACAGAUGCUGCAUAUGAUGGAAUUGGUGGUACCGUGAGCUGUAUUUGGAAAUAGUUAAUUAAUGUGUCCAUUUUUAGUGUCCUUUGGCUUGGUAACUAGAAUCAAAUUGAUUGCCUGAUUGAUCUCUUAGAUUUUCCUUGUGAGGCCAGAACCUGUACCGAGGUAGAAGGAUUUGGAUAAAACAUAUUAAAGCAGUAAUUGAUUUAUGUUAUCCCUUUGUGGCUCUGACUGUUAUUUUGGGUUUCAAUCCAAAUUAGUUGUUUAGUUAGAGUUCUGUAGCUGGAGUCAUAGAUCCUCUAAAAUUGGUCUGUGGGGUAUAGUUAAUGUCCUGAAAGAAAUUAGAGUGAAUGGCCAAAAUGGUCAGUAAACUAUUCAAAAUGGCAUGAAUUAGUUGCGGAACCUUUUUUUUGAAUCACUUUCACUAAAUUAAUUGGAAUUAGAAGUUUUUAGGGGCAAAAUGUCCAAAUAAUGCUACCUCACUCUCUUUCCUAUUUUCGCCGUAGUAAUGCCCUCUACCACCUUGACGUCAUCAAGCUAGGUAGAGCAUCAAAAUACCUAGAAUUCCUUCUCCUUCCUCAUCAAUGGAAAAAAAAUCUUUCUCAGUUAUCCUAGUCGUGUUCUUAUAAAAAAUCAAAUCUUAGAUUCACUUAAAAACCUCCAGUUCCCUAUUUUUCUCGUUUAUAUGAGAGUUGCUUAGGAAAUCCAUCAAGAUGAGUCUCCUUAUCUCCACUGCCUGCUUUAGUUCACAAGCAAAUUUCGCACUGAGAAUCCGAGAUUCUUCGACCUCCUAUCCUUCACUUGACAUUCCAUCUAUCAUCCAAACGUGCUAAGGGGCAAGGAAUUUAUUUGCAAUUAGGUAUUAUAUCUCCAAAUAUGAAAAUUUCAUGGAAUUGGGCAACUUCUGGCCAGAUGGCUGGAGUAGGUUCCCUACUGACGAAUUAGGGGAAGUCUAUGCGGCUGUGCUUGCCAAGGCAAGGACGAUAAGGAAAUGACACUGGAUGUCAUGAAGAAUGGUGAUCCUCGAUUGUUCAUCAUCCACUGAUAAGAUGUCCAGUAAUUUGGAUUGAAUAUUCCAAAAGUCACCAAACCUUUAUAGACCCAAUUUUCCUGAUGACGUCAUGGUGGCCUAUGAGGCUUGGAAUCAGGCCCGUUCCAUUAGGAGUGGCCUACUAGAUUAAUAUGUUUGGAACAUUUUGGGCCGCAGAAAAAUUGGGUCUAUGGGGAUGGAAGAUGGAAUGUGAAAAGGUGGAUAAGAGGCCAAAAAACCUCGAAUUCUUGGUGCGAAAUUUGCUUGCGAAUUGAAGUAGGCAAUGGAGAUAAGGAGACUCAUUUUGAUGGGUUUUCUAAACAACUCUAAUGUAAACAGGAGAAAUAGAAAACUUGAGCUUCCUAAGUGAAUCUAAGACUUGAUUUUUAAUAAAGCACAUUUAGGAUAAGUGAGGAAGAUUUUUUUUGCGUUAAUGAGGAAGAAAGAAGGAAUUUUAGAUAUUUGGAUGUUCUACCUAACCUAGUGCAAACUAUUCCUACAAUUGGGUAGAAUGGGUUGGCCUACAUAGCCCUCUACCUCGACCGUAACAUCUCAAUUUUAGUGUUUUGUGGGAUUGUGUUUUCCACCUAGGGUCGCCACAUUUUUUAUAUUUUUUCUUUUCAAUUUUAUUUUUGGUGUCAAACAUUGUGGGAAAAAAUCAUGGGAAUAUUUCUUAAAAAUUUUCAUAUCCUGCAGCGAAGAAUUUUAUUUUUAAAAUGCUUGCUGUCGCCGCAUCUAGUUUGGAUGCCACGACCCCCUUUUUCUAAAUUUAAAAUUAAAAAUUUUUUUAAUCCUAUUUGAAUUUUUUUAUGAUCAACUAGUUUGUUUUUUAAAUCAUCUCUUCCAAUGAACAAGCCCUCCAUAAGAAGAGUAGUAGAAUUGCCCAAAGACUAAUCCAGGACCAUUCCAAGUAAUGUAUCUAGCAUCCAAAUUAUUUCUUUUCACUCUAUUUUCUUUUGGAGACCUGGCAAUUGCCGCAUCAAAAUCAGAUGCAGCGACUGCAAGUUUUUUUUAUUGUUAUUCGCCGCAUCAAACCUUGGAUGUGAUGACUUUAAACUUUUUUUAAAAAAAUUUCCCACAAAAAAUUUUUUCCCCAACAUUCUGACACCCAAAAAAAAUUGUAAAUAAAACAAUAUUUUAUGGUCACCACAUUCCGAAAUGCGGCCAUCCUAAGUGGAGAAUAAAAUCCCAUAAAAUACCAAAAUUGUGAUGUUUUUUGAAACAAUCAUUAUUGGUAGAAAUUCGCCCUGAAUAAGUUUUGAACAACCUAAUUGUAUCAACUGUCAAUCACAUGCUAGAGCAUCUGAAAACCUUGAGCUGGAAGACCGGCUAACGUUUAGAUUUUUUAUGGGUAUAGGAUUUUGAAGAUCACCAUUUCCUUGUCUAGCUAGGGAGAUAUGAUACCACUGCUUCUCAACUUACUGUUUACCAUAGAAGAAAAUCUCUUGCUAUUUGUUCUGAGAUUUUAAUGGACCAACUUGGGAGUUCACUACCAACUAAACAAUAUCAUCAAUCCUUUUUGUGGCCAAGACUAACUAUUAGAAUCUCCUAGCAUGUUUAUUUGGUGUGAUUGUUUACAUUUUUUUAGCUUUUUACUUUCAUUUUAUACAACCAAUAGAAAAUUUAUGCCCUCUCAAAGUUAGUUGUUCAAGGUGGAUUUUUUUUUUUCACCACCUUUAACAACUUUUUUGUUUGUACUUUCAGAGUUAGGUAAUUUUGCAAAAAACUAGAAGGGAAUUGAACUAGCAGCACUAGAGUAUUGGGAAUGAUAAUAACAGAAGUUUGAAGGAGAAGCUUCUAGGCUGUGUGAGAGCUGAUACAACUUUUUAGGUAAUAACUGAUCUGUUAAAUUGCUGAUUACUUAUAGGGCUGGAAUGGUUGGUAACAUUGCAUAAAACUAGAAGGGAAUUGAACUAGUGGCACUAGAGUGUUGGGAAUGAUUAUCGCAGAAGUUUGAAGGAGAUAAGCUUCUAGGUUGUAGGAGAGCCCCAAGAGAGCUGAUACAACUUUUUAGAUAAUUACUCAUCUGAUAAAUUGCUGCUGACUUAUAGGGCUACAGACUCAUUUAUUACCCCAAGGUGACAAAGACCACAAUGCCCUCAAUGAGGAACAUGCCUAGCACAUUUCCACCGGCUAUACAAAACAAUUUCUAGAGUCCAUCUUAAGUGCUGAAUCGGCAUGCGUGGGAUAGUACUCAUUCUUACUUCUUGUGGUUACCAUCCAAUUUUCUUCUACCAUUGUAUUUUCAAGAAUGGGUAUUGGUACCAUAGUUCCAAGAAUGAGUACUAGGAAAGUUGGAUAGUUGCUAUAAGGAGUAAGAAUGAGUGCUAUUUGGCAUGUGCUGUUUCAGCAGUUAAGAUUUUCCCUAGCUUUUAAAACAACUGUUGCUUUAGAAACAAAGCAUGACUAACAACAUAACAACUGAUCCAAAAACAGUCUUUACUUUAGUGACAAAGCAAAAGGAGGACACAACUGGUCAGAAAUUUCCACUCAAAGAAAAUUUGACCACCUUUGAAUAUUGACAGCAGCAUCCAAUCUCAUAGAUGGUUUAGAAGCCACCAAGUUAAGAGGGAAGACAUUGUGCUGAAAGUUGAAAGUGUGAUGCUGUUAGACUAAUUUCUUGAAAUAAUGGUGAAAAAGUUGCAAAAAUGGGGCAAAUAAUUGCUUUUAUUAACAAUUUUUUUAAAAAAAAAAAAAGAAGAAGAGGCCGCCGCUUGUGAGACGUGGUUGCUGCAAGUUGCAGUUUAGUCCCCACUGCAUAGGAGGGCCAAUGGACAAUUUUUAGCCACCAUGUCUCUCAUGCAGCAGCCUUUUAUUUAAAUAUAAAUAAAUAAAUACGUCCCAUAUCAUUGAAGACUGAUUAGUCCCAUGUCUCUCAUGCAACUGCUCAUGCUGAAGACUUGAUUUAAUAAUAGGGACUCUUCUUUUUUUUUUUUAAAAAAUAAUAAUAAAGGGCCGCAUUAUGAGAGACGUGCAGCUGCCAAACAUUGCAAUUUAGUCCCUCAGCGCAUGUGCUAUGUAGCGAGGGACGAAAUUGCAAUGUUUGGCAUCAGCACGUCUCACGUGCAGCAGCCUCUCCUUUUUUUUUAUUGUUAAUAAAAAAAAUUUAUUUUGGCCAGUGCAUCUUCGAGUUGCAACUGCCGUAGAUGGAGAAACCCCUUGCAAUUUGCCCCAUUUUUGUGACUUGUUUUUUACCAUUAUUUCAAGAAAUUAGCCUAUACUACUAUGGUGAUUGUAAGUUUUAUUGCAGGGGAUCAUAUGUCUUUGAAUACCUGGGAAAAACCUUUAUAAGCGUUUAGUGCUAACAAUGCAGAAUUGGGGGGGAUAUGUGGCACUAAAGAGAGCAAAACAAUAAAAUGAAGCUGCACAUGCUAGAUAUGUACAAUGUGGGUGUUAUUACCGGGAGAGUUUGAAGGCUAGGCACCAAUGAAAAUUGAUAUCAUAAAUUUAUCUGUCUACUUUUCCGAAGCGAAUUGAAAAUUUUGGUGAGCUUAUAAUUGACGGAAAAAGUUGUAUUAAUAUUUUUUCUUGGACCAGUAAAUUUAAAUACAAGACAUAACUAUAUCCUCAAAAUAAUAGAUUGCAUGGGUGGAGAAGAAUACUAUUAUGGUAAACAAUGUGCUCUCUUUUCUUGUGGUUGUUACAAAGAUAGUUGUUACAUAUUUCCUUCUUAGGUACUUGGAAAAAAUGUGUACCCUUGGAAGUACUUAGUGUGGAUUCUCAUCCUUCAGGUGAACAAGAGUCUAAAUGCAUGGGUCCCCAUAAAUAUAAUUGGUUGAAUACCCUGCUUUCUGCACACCUACCCUGCUAAGGAGGGAAGUGAUCACAGAGGACUUCCUAGGAUUGACUUUCCCUUGCACUUUGUUUUAUGUGAGAGGUGAUUAUUCUGGUAAAUCAAACAGAUAUGAUUUCAUGCAGUGGACCAACAGAAUUGCCCUAAAUUUUGGCCUGAAGAUCUAAAGAGUUGAAUAAGUGAAGGUUUAUAGGAGUGAGCAAACUGUAGAUUCGCGAAGAAACAAUUAUGGGUCAACUAAAUAAAACAGAAGUAAAUUAAUUAUGUGCAAGAUGAGAAACAUAUCCUAGAUGAUUAUCGACUGGUCAGAGUGGUCUAUAUACUGGGUUUGGGACACUACCUUGAAUGCAGUGUGUCCUUGCUGACCUUGCCUAUACCUAUGAUGGAUUCUCCUUUCAUUUAUUUUUGAAGUUUAAUGAAUUUGGUGUAAUUAUCUGGAUAGAAGUUGUGAGCUGUAUCCCUCUAAUCAGCUUCAAUCCUUUUCAUGUAUAUCAGCAGCUGCUUUAAGUGGCAUGAUAGACUUUUAUUAUAUCAUGUGAUGCUCUCUGAAAUGGUUGCGCGGAAACAAAACAGUUUGAUUAGUUGCUACUCUAGCAAGCGGCUAACUUCAACAGAGUUCUUAGAAUGGAAAGGUUUCUAGAUCAUAUUUGGAUUGCAAAAUGAUUCGCAGUCUAUGGUCACUACCAUGAUGACCGUCUAUAGAUUUUAUGUUUUGUGUAGUAAAUUCUUCAUACAUUCAAGGAACAUUUCUUUUGUUAUUACAGUUUUUUUUUUUUGUGCAAAUUCAUUUUCUUGGGAUGUCCUGCAUUUUGUUCUUAGUUUUUCAGCUUUUUUGGUCUGACUAGGCCGCUUACUUGGACAGGAUAUCAAUGCUGUUAACGUUGAGCAUAAUACUCCUCUUCAUUGGGCUUGCCUAAAUGGGCACAUUGAGGUACUACUAGAUAAUUAUUUGAUUCCAAAACUGCUUGAAAUCUAGAAAGUCGUGGUUUGUAGUUUUUACUUUUACUGAUCUCUUGCCAGGUUGUCAAGUGCUUAAUUCUCGCAGGAGCCAAUGUCUCUGCUCUGAACAGGUAAUAUUUGGCUUUGUUAUGCAGGUUCUUGGUUUCAUUGCUUUUUGAGCUUAUGAACUCUCUUUCCUUGCAACUUUUGUGUUGGAUGUUUUCAGCCAUGAGAGGACACCCGUGGACGAAGCAGUUACUGGAGGAAAGAUGGACGUCGUUGAUGCCAUUAAUGAAGCUAUGGCCCAAACUGAACUCACAGCCACUCAGGUUUCCUGAUUGAAAUAGUAAAAUGGCAUAUGCUAUGUAGUAUAUUAAACACACACUUUCGCUUUAUCCCUUGUUAGGUACGCUUACGUUUUCUGCAUGUCCUAGUUCACAAGGUGGUGUGGCAUUUAGUUAAAGAAUGGUAACCAUUUUGUAUGAGAUAUUUGAUCAGUAGUGUUAAAAGAGAGAAGGGAAAACAGAAAAACAGAGAGAUACAGAGAAUUUAUAUGAUGAUUGCAAAGAAAAACUGGCUGAACCAUGAUUAUGGUUUUUUUUUUUUUUUUUGUUUUGUUUAUGAGAGCAUGGUAUUCACCAAAGUUGAUGAGUUAGAGGAAUAAAUAUUAACAUAAAGGUAAUCCAAAAUCAAGAGUUUUUAUGCUAGAAUUUAGAACCUCUUAACUCAUCAACUUUGGUUAUUACUCCACCAGACUAAUAUUAGAAAGUUGAGAAAUUAGACUCAAGUAUGGUGGUGUAAGUUUACAAAUAAUAAUAGGCAUUUAAGGGCUCGGUUGACAAAAUUAAGGCACUUUUAAACUUUUUCAAUUUCUUAUCUUACCUUUUCAACCCACAACAUAGAAGUACUUUUUGUAUGCAUAACACUAAAAUUGUCGUGUAAUUAAAGUUAAUCAUUUGUAAUUGUUGAAUUUUCCAGAAUUAAAAGAUUUUAAAAAUCAUGUUUUAGAAAAUGCUAAUGGCAAAAUGACACGCAAAAUGUGAAAAUGUCGUUUCUCAUUUCUACUGAACAUACAACUUGGUGUUCAAUCAACAGGUGCUAGAAGUCGUGGUUUUAGUUCAACAUUAUCUUUUAGACCCUAAAUUUGGAAGUUUUCUUUUAGACUUCUUUUUUUUACAAUAGAUUUCAACAUCUUUAACAUUGACAAUGGAGCUCAUCAUCUUAGUCAAUGAGUUAAAAAAAAAAAUAGGUUGAACAUGAAAGCGGCCAGAAUUCUAUUGCGUUCUACAUCCUUCGGGGAACAGAUGGCAAUAAUGAUAUUUUUCCCACAAAAAUUAAUUUCUUAAGUGCUGCGCGCCAAUACGCAUAUUUUGAUACCUAAGGUGCUCAUCGUGAUUCCCCAUAUUUAUUCAUUGCCCCUCAUAUUUUGGGACUUUCCUGAUUUCUCCUCACACUUUCAAAAGAAUAUUCUACAGCAAGACCGUGUCCUGCAAACCAAAUCAUGAAGAUGGACUAACUUCUACUUAGUUAAAUGGUCAUUUUUUUGGUUAGGUUCUGUUUUGGAAAUUUUAAUUUUGUUUCAAGGGUUUCAAUAAUAUUGGUAGGUUUUCUUGACUUAUGAUUCACAUCUUUUGGGAUUUCAAUAUGGUUUCCAAUUGUCAAAUUUUUAUUUAACUUUACCAGAAACUCUAGACCUUCUUGCAACUAAUUUUGAGAAGUUGUCACCCUGGACUUUCCCGCCUUUGUGCAAUAAAUUGAACACAAGAAUCUUGAAGUUGAAGCAAAGGCUAAAUCUGAUGCACAUGGAAUAUAUGGAAGGAUUUCUCGAGCGAAUGCUCAAUACACUACUAUUAUUGCGUGAAUACAUAUAAUCACUGUUAUUGGACCCCUUGACAUUUUUCCAAAUUAAUUACACUUUUCAAAAAAAAAUAUUUGAAAAUUUUUUAACGAAUGUCCAUUACGCACCAGUUAGUUAGUCAAACUGUAGAGAGUCAGUUCACAAUAGAUACAAAUAUAGAUACAAAUAUAGAUGAUUAUAUGAAAUAGAGUAACAACGAAGCAAUUGAUAACAAAGGUUAUAACCGGAUUUUGUGCCCUUCCAGAAGGUCAUCUGCAGACUAUUUUGAAAAUGGAAACCAAAAAUUAGAGUUCAAGUGAAAAGCAUAUAAUCAAUAACAUUAUGCAGAAAUUGAAUUGUUCUUCCCCUACGUAAUGAUGAACAUGCAGACUGUUUUAGAAUAUCCCACCCCCUACGCACAGUUUUUUAUGUCUAAAUUUGGAAGCGGUCUUUUAGACCGGAACACUGCUUCUUUUUGACAAUGGACUUCAACAUUUUUUUUUUUUUGGACAACAAACUUCAACAUCUUUAUCAUAGAUGAUGGAGCUCAUUAUCUUUGUCGCUAAGUUAACACAUUGGACAACAGGUUCAAUAUGAAAGCAUCCAGAAUGCUACUGCGUCUACAUCCUUCCGGCAACAAAUGACAGAAGUGUGUACACUAUUACUGUUAGAUUCAUGACACAUGUGCAAAAGUUAAAUUUUAAACUCAAAUUUUACAUAGUUAUCAGUCAUCCAAAACUGACAAAGAUUAAUCCUAAUAUUUUUCAAGUAAAUUAGUUUCUCAUUCGCUACUAGAAAAAAUUUAAAAAAAAAUUCUCAAUCACUACUCGUUAAUGCACAUAUUUUGAUACCUAAGCGUUCAUUGACCCUCUAAUUCUGGCACUUUCCUGAUUUCUCCUCACAUUUUCAAAAGAAUAUUCAACAGCAAAACCAUGUCCUAGAAACCAAAACAUGAAGAUGGACUAACUUCCAAAUUUAGACAGGAUAGGUUCUAAGACUUUUGAGGUUCACCUAUUUUGGGAUUUUUAAUUUGGUUCAGUGGUUUUAAAUUUUUAUAUUGUCAGGUUUUCUUGACUUAUAAUUCACAUCUUUUGGGAUUUAAAUUUGGUUUCCAAUUGUCAAAUGUUCAAACUUUUACCAGAAAACUCUCUAUUUCUUAUUCCAAUUAAUUCAAGAACCAAUCUCCUAGGACUUUCUCAUUUUGUGCAAUUAUCAGGCACAAGAAUCUAGAGAUCACAUGAAGCCAGAGCCAGGCUAAAAUAAGGAAACAAAUGUCAUAUUCAGAUUUGGUGCCCUUCCAGAGUAAAGAUCAUCUGCAAACUGUAUUAAAAGUAAAAACCAUUAAUUUGCAGAUUUUUUUUUAAAAAUUUUUUAAUUAAUUUUUUUCAGUAGUAGAGAGAUUGGAUUUAAGAAGCAGGGAGGAAAAAAGAAAAUCUUAAUUGUAAAUCUCUAAUUCCUAAAACCUUUAACUUUGAUCAUUACAUCAAAAACCUCCUCGACGUAGAUCAACUUAAUUAAUAACAUUAUGCAGAAAUGAAAUUUUUGUUCCCCUAUGAAGUAAUGAUCCAGUAUGUAAAUGGUCCUAUUUGCAGUUUCACAUGAAAUUUUGAACUUUUGCAAAUAAAACACGAGUGGCCCUACCUUUUAUCCGACAUCAAAUAGAAUAACCCAAUUUUGAAACAAAAAUAUCAUUACUCAUUUAUAUAAAACCAUACAUGAUUUUCUAUUCAUCAAACAGGUUGCAGAAGUCGUGGAUUUAGUUCAACAGCUAAUGAGUAGUUGUUUGAGAUUCUAUGCCAUGUUGUCGGUUUGGAAGAAACAGCCAACUGAUCUCACCAACACAAUUCAAAUUAGUUCAUCAGUAAUUGUUGCCUUGGAGGGUGUGCUCGGGAGGGGGAUGGAUUUCCGUCCCACAUAUCGAAAGAUUGUGGGUUUUUUAAUUUAGGUUUAAGGUUCUUAGCCGCACUUCCUGUUACCAAUUAGUUGAAUGGUGUUGAUUGGUGGGUCUCCCCUAGAUUAGUCUCUGACUCAAUUUGGCGAUGACUUUUUGAGCGUUCUAAUCUAAUUAUGUGUGUGUGUUUCUUCUGUCUAUGGAAAAAAAAAAAAAAUUUGUUGCCUUGGCAAUGUCGAAAUGGGAUUUUAAAAUAAUUACACCUACAUUUAUUACUUCUUUUUGCAUAAAAAAAAAUCUUUUCAACUUCAUUUCACUUUAUUAAGACUUGAUUACUACUUAAUUAACAACUGUCUAACAAACACAUGGUAGGCAAAUCUAUGUCUAAAUCAUUGAACCUGUGAUUUGAAGCAAAGUCAAAUACUUAGCCAAAUCUGUGACUUCUUAUGGUAUUAAUAAAUUAUUACAUGUACAGCUAAUGCGCUUGAAAUGUUGGACUGAAAUAUUACAAUAUACACAAAUUAAUGUACACAUGCUCACAUUCACAUUUGUUGUUGUUUUGCAUUUUGACACUUCCAAUCUCAUUUCAAUUUUGUCAAAAGCACCAUUUGUUUUCUCAUAUAAUUUAGUAAAAGAAAACUAUAUAGUUAGAAUGAUGGCGGAAAUGUGAUUAACAAAAUGAGAGUACAAAUAACAUUUCCCUUUAUCCAAAUACAAACUCUCGGUGUCCUACUUAACAAGUGCCAAUGAGGCAUCCUGAUUAGAAAAAUUCAUGCCUUAAUCACUAAACUUGUGAUUUGAGGCAAUGUAAAAUGCUUGGCCAAAUUUAUGAUUUUUCUGUGGUAUAAAUUUAUUGUUACAUGUACAGCUAGUAAGCUUGAAAUGUUGGAUCUAAAUUGGAAAGUCAACUUGUAGACUUAAACAUUUUUAACAUAGACAAUAAUGAAGCUCAUUAUCUAGCUCAAUAAAUUAAUACAUACAAGAAUAGGUUGAAUAUGAAAGCCACCAGAAUUCUAUUGCAUCUUAUAUUCUUCAGCCAACAAAUGGCAAUAAAUUAAUUUCUCAAUUGCUACUCAUUAACGCUCACAUAUUUUGAUACCUGAAUUGUUCAUCCUCACAUUCACUGCCCCUCUAAUUUUGGCUCACAUUUUUCAAAAGAAAGUUCUAUAGCAAAGCCAUGUCCUGAAAACCAAAAUAUGGAGAUGGACUUUUAGUUCUACUAAGUUAAAGGUUUGUCCUUUGAUUAGGGUUCUAUGACUUUGAAGUUCACCUGUUGUGGAAUUUCUUAUUUGGUUUCAAUGAAUUUAAUAAUGGAAUUUGUAUGACUUAUGACUGCAUCUUUUUGGAAUUCAAUUUGGUUUCCAAUUGUCAAUUUUCAAACUUUUACCAAGAAACCCUAGGCCUUCUUUCACUUAAUUUUAGAACUAGUCCCCCAGGGCUUUCUGGAUUUGUGCAAUUACUAAAAACAAGAAUCCAGACAUAAAAUGAAGCUCAAGCCAGGCUACAACUCCAUGCACAUGGAUUUACAUAGACAUUUGGAGAGGGUUUACAUAGAGAUACAGACACACAGGAUUACAUGGAAUAGAGAAACAUAGAAGAAGAAGAAAAAAGAGUAAAAGGCUAGGUGCCCUUCCAGACACUGCUAAAAGUGGAAACCACAAAUUUGAGAUCAAGUGAAAAGCAUAUAAUCAAUAACAUCAUGCAGAAAUGAACUUGUACUUUCCCCUAUGUAAUAAUGAUCCUGACAGGAGAGGACGUAAUCUAGAACGAACUUGUACAAUUUCUUGAAUUCUUUCAGAUAAUUGGGAAGGCAAGCAGGCAAGCAACACUCUUUACUAGGCAUGAAUUAAGAGUUCCAAUCCCAUGGUUUGAGAUUCCCUAUUUUUUCGAGUAUUACAUUGCAUGUUAUGUAUAGAGGUAUUUACAUGGAUAUAAUGCUGUAUAAGAAGAAAUCCAGGAAGAGCAACCAUGGACUCUUCAGAGAAAUCUAAGAAGAUGGUCCUGGCACCAUUGGAGAACAACUACCAACUAGCACAAGUACAGGCUGGGUGGGGAAUGAAUGUUGUCGAGCCAAGAAACUAAUUGCUGAGUAGAAGGCCUUGCUUUGGGGGAGUCACUCAAGCAAAGGCAAGCGAUCUCAAGAACCCACAACAAUUCUUCAGCAUGUUCUUUUUCAUAAAUAAAUGGAUCAAAAACUUCGGUUUCCCUUUUAUCCUUCUUCUGUUGAAUAACCCAAGAAAUCAAAUCCCGAUUUUCUUUUGGCUUGCACAUAUCCAUCGGCCUCUUGCCUGUAAGCAGCUCUAGCAGAACAACCCCGAAACUGUACACAUCACCCUUGUAGGUUGCAACUGAAGCUUGGCCAUAUUCAGGAGGAAUGUAACCUAAUGUCCCAACAAGAUCAGUAGUCACAUGUGUGUCAUACGGAAGAAUAAGCCUCGCCAGACCAAAGUCAGCUAGGUGAGCUUCAAAAUUCUCAUCCAAGAGAAUAUUACUAGACUUAAUAUCUCUAUGAAGGAUAUGAGGCUCACACGACUGGUGCAAGUAAGCGAGCCCUCUAGCAGCACCUUGAGCAAUUUGAAGUCUGCAAUCCCAAUCCAAGGAGGAAGGCCCAUCGAUUUUUUCAUGAAGCCAAUAGUCCAAGCUUCCAUUUUCCAUAUAAGAGUAUAUUAGGAGCCUGUCAUUCCUGUAAAUGCAAUAACCCUGAAGAAGAACCAGAUUUGGAUGCUGUGCUCUUGAGAGUGUUUCAACUUCCGCUUGAAAUUCUCUAUCCAUCUGUCCACCAUCUCCACAAAGCCGCUUGAUCGCAACCUUCCUACCAUCAGAAAGAAUGGCCUUGUACACCAAACCAAAGCCACCACAACCAAUAAUGUUUGACUGAUCAAAACUGUUAGUGGAUUUUACAAGGUCAUCAAGUGAAAUUGCUUUACUACUACCCUUGUUUUGGAAAAGAACCACAAGACUCGACCCAAGUUCUUCCAAGUCCUUCUCUGAGUCAUCACCCUCCUUUUCUGGAUCAAUUGCUUUCCUCCUGAUAGACCAUAAAGCAAUCAAGAGAAAGAGAGCAAUAAGAAAUACACUUCCAAAGCCAAUCCCAAUUGCCAUGCCAAUUAUAGUGCUUCUGGGUGUCUUUGCUCUUCUAACUGAUGCAUGGGGAACUUGUUUGCCGGUAGGACAAGAAGUAUUGUGUGAAUCAGAACAAAGACCUGGGUUCCCUUCAAAGCUUGAUGUUGGAAACAAUAGAAACUGGCCUCCGUUUGGGAUCCCCCCAGAGAGUUUAUUGUACGCAACGCUAAACGUUGACAGAAAGCUGAGGUUUACUAAAGAAGGGGGUAUUGCUCCAGACAGAUUGUUAUGGGACAAAUCCAAACAUUCAAUGCUCGUCAUACCUGACAAUUCGCUUGGAAUGAUGCCUGAUAAAUUGUUAAACUUCAGGUCCAAAAAGUGUAACAUUUUCAAAUUCCCAAACUCUGGCCAAAUUUGUCCAGUGAGGAAGUUAUUUCCAAGCUCCAAUGUUGGGGGAAGGCUCAAAAUUUGAUUAUACUGUAACCCUCCAGCACUUACAUUUCUCUUCACAAAAAAUGGGAGAUCAGGAGGAGGCUUAUCCAAUGUUUUACUCUUAGAAAUGAGACUGUUCAAUUGAGUAAGUUCCUUCGGAAUUUCCCCAGUCAAAGAGUUAUUGGACAAGUCCAAGUAAAAUAGAAACUGAAAACCCCCAAACCAGGAUGGAAUUGCUCCUUCAAGCUGAUUCCACGAUAAAUCUAACACUUCCAGCCUCUCAGAAUUAGUCAACCACAGGGGAAUAGUACCUGUGAGUUUACAAUUUGCAAUGACAAGAGCUCGAAGCUUGGUAAACCGCAGAGCAGAAUCAGAUGGCAACUGCUCAUUAUGAAAAUUUAGAGUAAGAAACAAAGUCGUUAAGUUCUUACAGUGCUGCAAAGUUGCAAGAGCAGAUGACAGGUUAUGAAUACUCGUGUUUGAUAUGGAAAGGUAAGAAAGUGUCUGAAAAUUCUUGAAGGUUUCUGGAAUUUGGCCAGUGAAGCUGUUUUUUGCUAGAUUUAUCGUUCUCAAUUGUGGGCAGGUAGGAAGAUUAUCAGGGAUUGCUCCACGAAACUGAUUAGUACCCAAGUCAAGUGAAACCAGACUAGUCAUUGCAGCACAAUUAAGAUCAAGUGUAUCACCUAAAGAAUUAUUUCUCAAACUAAGGGUAGCAACAGUUGGGGAAUUUGCCAAUGACAUAGGAAUUCUACCAAUGAAUUUAUUCGAUUGAGCUGCGAAGUAAUUUAACUUCCCAAAGCGAAGAAAAACAUCAGGUAAAUUGCCUGAGAAUUCGUUCAAGGAAACAUCAAGGAAAACAAGACUAGAGAGGUUACCAAUGUUGGCAUUCAAGUUCCCUGAAAAUUUGUUAUCCUGAAGGGUCAAUCUCUCCAGUUUUGACAGAUGAAACAAAUCUUCAGCUAAACCACCAGAAAGAAAAUUUGAUGCAAGACAAAGAUCCUCCAAAGAAGUACAGUUCCCCAGUCCUGGUGCAAGAUUUCCACUGAAUUUGUUAGCUCCCAUCUUUAAGGCCUGAAGUUUGGUUGAAUUAUUGCAAAUUCCCACAGGAACUGGACCGCGAAAUGAAUUCUCUGAAAUGUUGAAGACUUGAAUUGAAGGCAGGCUGAUGCUCAUUGGAAACGAGUCAGAAAAUCCAUUGCAGCUCAAGUCCAAUACCUCUAAAUUAGGCAAGUGUAAGAGUGUCGAAGGUAUUGAACCUUUGAGAUAAUUUUUGGACAAAUUGAGUGUUCUAAGCUCACUCAAAUUGCCAAAAGACUCAGGCAACUUUCCCGAUAGCCUUUUCUGAGGAACCUCCAACUUCACGACCCUGCCUGAGGAAGAAUUGCAUCUAAUUCCAGCCCAGUUGCAGCAAUUGGGAGAGGAUGAAUUUGCAUCCCAACCCACAAUUCUUGAGCUUGAAUCCAAUCCACCCAAGAAAUCCACUAAUGCCUUCAUAUCAUUUGGGUUGCACGUAACAUUCUGAGAACUUACAUCCAAAGCUUGCAAUGAAAAGCCAAGAAACACAAAGAUAAUCCACACCUCCCGCAUCUCUGAAAACAGAAAAAGAGCAACUUUUUUCCAACUUACACAAACCACCUUCUAUUUAAUCAAGAUUUUCUGCUAGUCAUCUUGGUCCUCUUACCACAAACACAAAACCAAGAAAAAAAAAAGAACAAAAUAAAUGGCGGGUUCGGGUUCUUCUCUCUUGGUAAAAAUGCUUGUGGGUUUUUCUUGAAAUGGAAAAUUAAACAAUAGAUCGAACAGCAGAGUAGAGACAGAGAUCCUUUAGGCAGGCUGAGUCGAACUAUUGAAGGAAAAGGGGAAAAUGGGAUAAGAGGGAAGUAUACAAAGGGAAAAAAAGAAGAACGCAAAAGAUUGGGGGCGAAGGGUGAAGCUUUUGACUUCAAAAACCUCUUUUUUGGUCCAUUAAAGGCUGCUGUGACUCUCUGUCUAUCAGUUUCUUCCCCGCCACAGGCACCCAAGGAGAGAUAAAGAGAC